CCGGCGCACGGGUGAGUAACGCGUAUCCAACCUGCCCUUUACUUGGGGAUAACCCGUUGAAAGACGGACUAAUACCCAAUGAUAUCCAUUGAUGACAUCUGAUUUGAAUUAAAGAUUUAUCGGUAUAGGAUGGGGAUGCGUCUGAUUAGCUUGUUGGUGAGGUAAUGGCUCACCAAGGCCACGAUCAGUAGGGGUUCUGAGAGGAAGGUCCCCCACAUUGGAACUGAGACACGGUCCAAACUCCUACGGGAGGCAGCAGUG
Molecule: ribosomal RNA, 261 nt
Filed under: uncultured Prevotella sp.
Lineage: Bacteria; Pseudomonadati; Bacteroidota; Bacteroidia; Bacteroidales; Prevotellaceae
Description: partial 16S ribosomal RNA
Rfam family: Bacterial small subunit ribosomal RNA
Source: RNAcentral